UGCAUAUCAAUAAGCGGAGGAAAAGAAACCAACAGGGAUUGCCUCAGUAACGGCGAGUGAAGCGGCAACAGCUCAAAUUUGAAAGCUAGCCUUCGGGUUCGCAUUGUAAUUUGUAGAGGAUGCUUUGGGUAAAACGCCAGUCUAAGUUCCUUGGAACAGGACGUCAUAGAGGGUGAGAAUCCCGUAUGUGACUGGAAAUGUUAACCUAUGUAAAGCUCCUUCGACGAGUCGAGUUGUUUGGGAAUGCAGCUCUAAAUGGGAGGUAAAUUUCUUCUAAAGCUAAAUAUUGGCGAGAGACCGAUAGCGCACAAGUAGAGUGAUCGAAAGAUGAAAAGCACUUUGGAAAGAGAGUUAAAAAGCACGUGAAAUUGUUGAAAGGGAAGCGCUUGCAAUCAGACUUGUUUAAACUGUUCGGCCGGUCUUCUGACCGGUUUACUCAGUUUGGACAGGCCAGCAUCAGUUUCGGCGGCCGGAUAAAGGCUCUGGGAAUGUGGCCUCCACUUCGGUGGAGGUGUUAUAGCCCAGUGUGUAAUACGGCCAGCCGGGACUGAGGUCC
This 556-nucleotide ribosomal RNA is filed under the name Aureobasidium sp. RNAcentral describes it as "partial large subunit ribosomal RNA". It matches the Rfam family "Eukaryotic large subunit ribosomal RNA", at positions 37 to 601 of the family's 3401-position model. RNAcentral also lists the same sequence under 1 other name. The record is from RNAcentral. Lineage: Eukaryota; Fungi; Ascomycota; Dothideomycetes; Dothideales; Saccotheciaceae.